AUUAUCUCUUCUCGGUUAAGUCUAGGAGAGCCACUCUGGGAGAUGAAAGGAACUUCAGAUGUUAUUUCUUCUUCUGGUUGUUUAUCAGCUAGAAACACCAUAAACAGAAACAAAUAAUUUAUCCUUUUGGAUCAUUUUGGCUGGCGUGGUCUAGAAGAGGAGCCUUUUCUGCUGUGCCUCCUGCCCUCUGGAACAUCAUGCCCCUGCCCCAAAGUGGGAUCUGCACCCACCCGUCUGACCUUCCAAAAGUCCUUGAAAACAUGGCUAUGCCAAUUAGUCUGGGGCCCCAAUUGGUGUGUGACACUUUGAGGAGGCUAAUGGAAUAGAUAACACCCCACCUCUUUCCCGUGCACACUUUGCUCCCUCCCUCUCCAUCCUGUAUGUGAAGCCUCUGGAGAAGACUCUGAUGCUGGAAAAGAUGGAAAGAAAGAGGAUGACCAGCAGUAAGGUGGAAGAGCUUAACUGCAGUAGUGAUAUGUGCACUGUUGGAAGAUCAGAAGGACCUACAAAAAAUCUAUCUGUGGUGACUCCACAUCAACUCCAACCUGAUGGCCCAUAAUCAAUCAAUAAAAAGCCAGUGGGAAAAAUGUGAGCACUGUGUUGUGGAGUUUCUUAGGGCUUAAGACUCUCUCCCUUGCUAUUUAAAAAUCUAUACGAAAUCACUGUUGAGUGAUUUCAUCCAUCAGUUUGAGGUGAGACAACAUAAAUUUGCUAAUGCUACUCUGUUGUAUACUGCCAGCCUGAACUUUUUUUGGGGGGCGGGGCAGAUAAAAGAGAAUGAGACUGACUGAAAUUGCAGUUCUGGGAAGCAAGGAUUGGCAUGCUCUUAUUUCUACCCAGCUGGGUUACUACAGUUCACUCUAGUUACAGUUCUCUUUCAAAUCUGGAAAUUGCUAUUGGUUCAAAAUGCAGCAGCCCACGGGUUAAUGACUCUUUGUGCCACAACCACAUAGCAUUUCUUUUUGGGUUAUCUCACUGAUUGCCAGUAAUUAUCCAAGUACAAUUCACAGCAUUACCCAGUAUUACAAUGUUCAAUUGCAGUCCCUACAUUCUGGAAUGGACAGAUGCCUGAAGUGGGAGGGCAAGUUAUUCUUAUUCUAAGGAACAAAAGAAUUCAAUAAAACAAAAUAAUGAUCAAAUGUGAAUACUGAUGCUAUGGAGAUAAAAAAAAAAACAAGCUGAAAUGUUUAGUGUUAUGUACUGCAGAUUACCCAGAUGGAAGGACUUAAACUGGAAUAAUAGGGAACCACCAUUUCUGGAGCAGGUGCUCCAAGUGCUCCAACUGCAGGCUGACCUUGAAAUAUAGGAGGUAUGAGGAUCCUUGCUAUGGAAAGAAUUCAUCAGGGUACUUGAAACAACAACAAGGUUACAAGGAUGUGAUAAAUGUGAAUCAGAGACUAUAAUGGAGAAGCAAUAUGCAAUUUAUUAAUACAGUUAGUAAUUUAUUAUACCAGGAAAGCUUUUUUGCAACAAUUCAAUAAACAUGAACUAAAAACCCUAUAUAACAAGGUUUAGAUAAUUGGAUCCCGA
This is a long non-coding RNA of Crotalus tigris (Tiger rattlesnake), 1530 nucleotides long. RefSeq lists it as uncharacterized. Lineage: Eukaryota; Metazoa; Chordata; Lepidosauria; Squamata; Viperidae. The transcript is spliced from 3 exons. The record is from RefSeq and is a predicted model, not a curated record.